RNAcentral lists this long non-coding RNA (295 nucleotides) under Olea europaea (common olive). RNAcentral describes it as "long non-coding RNA (OEUR_LNC002973)". The record is from RNAcentral. Lineage: Eukaryota; Viridiplantae; Streptophyta; Magnoliopsida; Lamiales; Oleaceae.
AAUCUUAUUUUUGGCUUGACAUUUUAUAUUUUCCUUUUAUAAACUCAGACAUACGAACUGCAGCAAUCAGUUCCAGGGUUUGAUUUUAUGCUGGGAUCUGGUAUCAAUAAUCCAAAUAGUAUAUACCCUGCCAUUCCCAGUGAAAGCUCGGCAAUUCCUCCAACUUUGCAAGUCAGCCUUCAAGUGCCGAAUGUACCAGCAGCUCCUACACUCCUCGGGAAAGGGUAAGAUUUGGAUAUCCUUCCUCAAUGCAAACAAAAGAAUUUAAGCAUGCUUCAUGGAAAAUGAAUGUGAA